AUUGAACGCUGGCGGCAUGCUUUACACAUGCAAGUCGAACGGUAACAGGCCUUCGGGUGCUGACGAGUGGCGAAUGGGUGAGUAACGCAUCGGAACAUACCCAGUCGUGGGGGAUAACGUAGCGAAAGUUACGCCAAUACCGCAUACGUCCUGAGGGAGAAAGCGGGGGAUCGCAAGACCUCGCGCGAUUGGAGUGGCCGAAGUCAGAUUAGCUAGUUGGUGGGGUAAAGGCCCACCAAGGCGACGAUCUGUAGCGGGUCUGAGAGGAUGAUCCGCCACACUGGGACUGAGACACGGCCCAGACUCCUACGGGAGGCAGCAGUGGGGAAUUUUGGACAAUGGGGGCAACCCUGAUCCAGCCAUGCCGCGUGCGGGAAGAAGGCCUUCGGGUUGUAAACCGCUUUCGGACAGAAAGAAAUCGCAUGGGCUAAUACCCUGUGUGGAUGACGGUACUGUAAGAAGAAGCACCGGCUAACUACGUGCCAGCAGCCGCAGUAA
This 498-nucleotide ribosomal RNA is filed under the name uncultured bacterium. Its description in RNAcentral is "partial 16S ribosomal RNA". It matches the Rfam family "Bacterial small subunit ribosomal RNA", at positions 29 to 523 of the family's 1533-position model. The record is from RNAcentral.